Molecule: ribosomal RNA, 570 nt
Filed under: Thelephora sp. DSH 96-010
Lineage: Eukaryota; Fungi; Basidiomycota; Agaricomycetes; Thelephorales; Thelephoraceae
Description: partial 12S ribosomal RNA
Rfam family: Bacterial small subunit ribosomal RNA
Source: RNAcentral
GAUGACUACUAACUGAAAUCAUACUUGUGUCAAGUAUGAUAACGUAAGGGAAGAUAAUGACAUUACCUUACUAUUAGUGUUGUCCAAAUCUGGUGCCAGAAGACUCGGUAAGGCCAAAACGCGAACGUUAGUCGUCCUAAUCAGGCGUAAAGGGUGUGUAGGCAGCUUUAAACUUUAUUCUUUUUUCUUUAAAAAAUAUAGACUAAUUUAUUUAAAAAUUAUAAUAAAAAAAUUAUAAAAAUAUAAAUAAAUUAAGGAAGGAAUGAACUAAUAAAAGCUAGAAUCAAAUAGAGGAUAUAUUAAAUAAUAUUUAGAGGAGGUCUUAUAUCCUUAGAUACUAAAUGGAAUAUUAAGAGUGAAAGCUUUUUAUCUACUAAAGAUUGACGCUGAGAAACGAAGGUGAGUAUAGGAAAUAGGAUUAGAUACCCAGAUACCACUCUCUGUCAACGAUGAAUGGUGGUUGCCAAUUAUAAAAAAUAGGUGGCUCUGUUAACACUAUAACCAUUUCCGCCAUGUUAGUAUGACUGCAAAGUUGAAAACAAAAAAAUUAGUCGGUCUCGAAGCAAACGA